Long non-coding RNA from Herpailurus yagouaroundi (jaguarundi), 3361 nucleotides. RefSeq lists it as uncharacterized. Lineage: Eukaryota; Metazoa; Chordata; Mammalia; Carnivora; Felidae. The record is from RefSeq and is a predicted model, not a curated record. The transcript is spliced from 4 exons.
AGACAACGGCAGCCGGAGGAAGCCAGGCACAAGGCUCUGUCUGCUCCCACUCAUCUGAGCUGUAAGGACAAGGCGAACCUACUGGGCCGUUCGCCAUGGGCCCUGCAGCUCCCCUGGGGUGGCGGGGGCGUGGAGGGGACAGCCAGGGCACUUCCGGGGGCCCGAGGUUGUGUUUCUUGAGCUGGGUGCUCACGUGUAUAAAAUUUCACCUAGCUGAACACUCUUGGCGUGGGUGUUUUUCUGUAAGUAUAUUCACCGGCAAGCUAAAGAGAACGAGAGAGAGAGAGAGAGAGAGAGAGAGAGAGAGAGAAGGCCAGCACAGCUAAGCCACUCUUCAAAUGUUCGGGGUUUCUGCAGACUUGUGUGCUGGCUUGUCCUCUACGGAGGACUUCCUUCCUGCGUCCCAUAAAAGUUGUAGUAACGUCUCAUGCCCCAAAUCAGGAAGAACCCGCUCUUGGAUUUCGCAAGGGGGAAGUUCUGAAGGCCACUGUCCCAUUGUCCGCACUGGACCCCUCAAAGUGAACCGGCACCGUGAUGCGGAGGUCUGGGUGACCCUCGGGCCCCGGGACGCGGAGCAGGGCCCUGUAUUCAGCUAGUGCGGGCACCUGCACAGACGUGCGUGUGCACUCCCGGCCAAGACCCUCCCUGCCUGUCUCAGAACUCGACUCCGUUCCCCUGACUUGAAGGAUCUCCACGUGCGUCACCACAAGGUUCUUCUGAGGAAGACCUAGAAUGUGAGGUGUAAACUGAGGCCGCAGGGGCCCAGAAUCAGGGUGCAGCCCGAGCAACAUUCCUCAGGCAGCUCGACGGCCAAAACUCGGGUGAAAACACCACCUUAUUUCCCAGAACAGGCAUCAGGCACGCUGAGUCCCACGCCUCAUAAAACCUAACGUGAUGUGCUCUCGGGUACCUUGCUUGGACUCAAGCCAAACUCGAAGAGAAGGUCCUUCUAAACCCACCCUUUCCAAAGCAGAGAAGAGGCACCUUCCUCCUCCUCCUGGAGGUGAACCAGGAGGCACAUGCCUCCCCCGAGGGUCCCAGCCUGGGGACAGGCUGCCCCUCAGAAGAGCUGAGGGCUCAGCGAAGAACAUGCAGGCCCGAAGAGACUGAGAACUCGAGAGCAAAUCACCCAGAAAGAAGCUCUGGGUGUUUCUGUUGACACCAGUAGGAUGUGGAUUUUCUGUUGCUGAACAGAAGCCCUCUGCUAAAAUCGCCUUUGGAAACCUUUGCUGUUCGUAGGCAUCUGUGAUCGCAAAGAAGUAAAACCAGUAUGCCUGCUACAGAAGUGGCCUCCGAGGGGCGGGGUGGGAGCUCCAGCGGGCACGCGGGAGAGUCGCGGGCCUGAGAGCUUGAGAAAUCACGAUUCUGCUGAAAGCAGCGAAGGCAGAGAUGGAGACACCGUUCCUCCUCUUUCACGGCAAACACCCCGCGGGGUCACGGGGCAAAUAUCACCGGUGCUGACACGUGGCCACGGGGCUUGGCGCCUUACGAGGCAAGCUCAGCUACAAGGCCCUCCCUUCCAGGAGGUGUUCUGGAACACGUGGGGCAGGUCGCCCCUCCGCAGAAACGAGCCGGACUACUGCCAUUCGGGAGCUAGAGGCCAAAGCAGCGUCCGGUAGAAUCACACUGUCCAACAGCCGGGGAAGCCGUGGAGGAAGCCAAGACGGCCCGUGGCCUCAUGGCCUGGCGUGCAGACCUCCUGUGGGCACCCGUCUGGGGCCCCUCCACGUCCGGCGUCGCCACUGCGUACCCCUUUCACUCUGAAAAGGGCCAGAUGUGGGCCGCCAAUGAUCCGGACCACCACCUCCAGGACUGACACGUCUGGGAACGUAGCAACACCAAGUCCUUUUCUUCGUUGACCGGGACAGCCCGGAGGAGAGAUUGGGGUCCGGUGGAAAGCGACCCCGAGCCUUCCAGCACAGCGUCUCGUGCCUUCGGGGCACACUGCGGGGCUGGGAGGGGGGCCCUCUCUCCCGGGGGUGCGUGCUGCGGGCCCUCCCCCCUUCUCUUCUGUGUUGGGGGGGUGAGGACAGCGCCUGCACACGCGGGGGGGCGUGCUGGUUGCCUCCCCCAGGCACACACCAUCCACACACCGUGCACGCGGGCUGAGCACUCGAAACACAAGCUCGACUGCGGUCCCGGUCUCCCGGGGCCCUCAGAGGUGUGGGGGGCUAGCCUGGGCCAGUGCCGGGCACGGGGUCAGCAACCGUGAGGCAAGGGCAAGGACUCGGGGGUUCACGGCUGAGGAAGGCAGGAGACGGGCUGGAAGGUUCUCACGUGGUUGACAGUCCGUAUGGAUUCGGCCAGCGGAUGGGGAUACUGAGUCACGCCAGGGCCUCCUUGUUCCUCCAGGCAGCUGUGCACGGCUCGACUUCGGGAUUUCCCUGUGCACGGGUUACGGAGCAAGGCGGGCACGACCUGUGCAAAGAGGAGAAGGUCAAGGCCCAGGAGAAGAGACCCAGGGCAACUGUCCUGCGCCCCGAUCCCCCCCACUGCUGUCCUAGGAGGCAGGAGGGCCCUGCUGGAACCCAUCCCUCUGGUUACUGUCCCAUCAACAGCGAAUCUUGGCAUCCGCGCUGCUCGCUGAUCCGGACAGCCUCCAGACAGCAGGAUGUACCCUCGCUUUGCAUUUAGAGCCUGAGCUCCGUCUCUCCUAGUCUCUCCGCACAGACCGCCGUGCCUGAGACCCCAGCCAGGGCAGAGUGAGGGGUCUGACCCCAAAGGCGCAGUCAGGAAUCUGAAUGCUGACCUCCUCUUUUGCACUAAAAUGCUUGUGUGUUAUCAGAGGGGAGCGCACAAGAACGAAACCGCUUGAGCCUCUGCGUCCUCAGGCUGCGGUCGGUCCCUGGGGCACACCGCUAGUGGACGUGUUUGCGGACUCGCGUGUUCUUCAGGUCUGCUCACCAGCGCCGGAGCCACCAAGUGGCCGGUUUUGAUUUAUCAGGUCACUUCAGCACCACACACCGAAGCAUCUCUGCAAAUGUCCUCUUCCCCUGUCUUGCCUUCCAGACUCUCCCAGGCUCUGGCGGACCAGCGAGGACGAGCACGUCUGGUGGCGUCCACUCUCUUGUCGGUGUGCCCCGUCUGUGCGUGUGCGUGUGCAAUGCCAUCGUGGACGAGGAUCAGGUUGGGGAUCUGAGGGGAGGCUCACUGCGGCCCACCGCCCUCAGCGGUCCGUUUGGCUCUUGGCCACGGAGAGGAGAGAACUACGGUCUCUGGGUAACUCCCUCUCUCUUUGGCCUUGUAAGGAAAUAUCUAGGGAAGACAGCAGAAGGUGUGUCGGUGAGGUUUGCCGGUGGCAUCAGAAGGUAUGAGAGAAAAGUGGGUUCUUCCCCUGCCCCUCCCUCCCCAUCCACCUGGC